This 29790-nucleotide long non-coding RNA is filed under the name Setaria italica (foxtail millet). RNAcentral's name for it is "long non-coding RNA (SITA_LNC005426)". The record is from RNAcentral. Lineage: Eukaryota; Viridiplantae; Streptophyta; Magnoliopsida; Poales; Poaceae.
ACCCCAUGUUGGUGCUCCUGUAACAUAAUAGGAUGCAGGUCCAAGAUUGGCAUCAUCAGGCAGAUACACGGAACCAUCUGAUCCUGAUAUUGAACUACUGCUCCCGCAGUCCACAGCAAAGGAGGUAGCUGCAAGCAUGUUAAAUUAUUUAAUACUUAUGUUAAUUUAGCUAAGUAGACGCACGUUGCAGAAGCUAGAAGCUCACUUUGUGGAGAGCCAAGAAAGCAGGGUGUGUCUCGCUGAAGGCACUCCAGCCCCGAAGGUAAUAAGACACUGCAGAUGUCAAACAUUGACAUUUUGAAUUCAAAAUACGAGCUUAGAGAACAAUAAUUGUACAUGAAGAUUUUGAGGAGCUAUUCGAAUGUAAACUGACCUGUUAUUGGAGUUGCUGACCACGAAAUUGUUUGCCACCAAAUUCCUAUGUACAAUGAAACAUGGAAAAAAGGCACCGUUCAUACUUCAGAGCAUAUUGAGGGUUUGUUUUAUAAGAUAAAUAAAAGCAGGGACAAAUAACCGAUUUAUUUUUUCAGCUAAACUGUAAUGAAAAGUAAUUCUCCUUCAUUAAAGAUUUGGAAUCAUAUGUGGCUUAGAUUCUGAAUCAUAGAUGACGUCAAAUGCAAAAAAGAAAAAGAAAAAAAGAAAAAAUAAAUAUGAUCUAGGUGCAGCAAAAGCAGCUUUUUAGAUGUAAUUGAUAUUAAAAAAUGCUAGUUUAAUACAUGUGUAUGAUAUUGGAUUAUCUUUAAAAUAAUAGUAAUAGGGCUGAAUUUUCGGUCAGUCAAUCAAGCUUGCAAAACUCAGCACUUACAAUGUCAAAUUCGGACUAACCCAGGAGGGAAAGUUUCCUGAUAGCUGGUUGUAGGAAAAAUCUCUACACAAAAGAAAGCAUGUAAAUGUUAUAGAUAAACGCCUUCCUAAUUUUACUUCACAAAUGAAAGUGGACAAACAUACAAGUUUUUAAGAGAAGUUCCUAUAGAACUUGGAAGGCUUCCUGAAAGACUAUUAUUCCCGAGAAACCUAGGCAGACCAAAUUUGCGCAUUAGCAAGAUUAAUGAUCAUUGUCAUCAGAACCUAGAAAUAAGUAUCAGAAGGCAAGAUAAACCAUACAAGAAGCUGAGUGAAUUCAGAUUCAGCAGAGCUUGUGGUACUUGGCCAGUGAUAUUGUUAAAACUCAAAUCCCUAUAACAACAGAACAAAUGAGACUAGGAGAGAAAGGGGUCAUCAAACAAUGCAUAAUCCACAGCAGUUCAUUAAAGCAUCUAGCAAAACAUGUAGUUGACUGGAGUUUACGAAGAAACAAAAUGUCUUACAGUAGGGUUAAUGUUGCAAACUGUGAAAAGUUUACUGAUGCCAGGUUAUCAGAUAUCCUGCAGUUCCUCAAAACUCUGCAAUGAAACAUGUCAAGAGUUUUCGGAUUUAACAAUUGGUUGCACUACAGAAAAUAUUAAGAUGUAGUUUGAGUCAUCAAAUGAAUGGCAAGUUAUGCAUACAAGGUGUUCAAAGAUGUCAUGUUACUAAUGAAUGCCAGUGAAGAACUUCCAUUUACUAUGUCACCUAUUCGUCUGCACCACAGAAAUAAAUAGUUCAUUCUUCUGUUCUGCAACCUUAAUAUUUGACAAUGAUACUUAUCUACUCCCGCCAUCAGUAGUCACUUACAAGCUUGUCAGUUGGACAAGAUUAGAAAGAGUGGUUGGAAGUGGACCUUGAAAUGAAUUGCCUUGAAACCGUCUGCAAAAUUAUAGUUGUUGUUACUAGUGAAGAAAGAAGGAAGAUCCUGCUGGUACAAGGGUCACUUUCUUGGUAAAAAAAGUAAAUAGAUUUAUGCAGAUAGAAAUAUGAUCUGUUCCAUACAAAAAAUAAUUAUUAGAAAAAUCAAUUCAAUAUUUUUAACACUAGUAUUUUUUUAAUGGAACAGGAGGGGUUAGGACCCCUACUGGUUAUAUAUUCAGGAAAAAGAGUAUUUUACAGAGCAAUAGGAGAAAAAGGAAAAUUACAACAGAUUGUCAAGCCAUUCUGUGAUUCUAGGGAAAGACUUAUUUUUUGCUCGAUGGAUAACCAUAUCAAAUUCAUACUUGAAAAUGUUUCUGCAACUCUCAACUGAAACUUGUUGUUGCCUGGAGAUUGCAUUGUUCCUUGUUGUCCAGAAUAUGUGGAACAGCACCGCAUUAUCAUGAAUAGUGAAAAAAUGUAAUAUUUACUAAAAUGAUGAAACCACCUCACAUCUGACCUUAAGUGGAUUAUUUUAAUAGGCCACUGAAUGGAGAUUUAGCAGAGUAAAAACUACACUUAGCUAAUACCAUCUCAUUUAUGAGCACAAUGAGCCAGGGUUCAAAAUGAAUUUCAUACUUGAGAACUGUUGCAAACUGUACACAAUGUCUUUAAAGAAAUUAUCAUCACCAUCUGAAAAGUAUAAGUUGUAAAUCUUACAGUUCUAAUAAAUUACUGAAGCUCCCAAUGUAAUCUGGUAUUUGCCCAGUAAAAUCAUUAUCUGAUGCCCACCUAAUCACAAAUAAGAAAAACACAUAAGGUUAAAUGAAUGAUACUGUUGACAAAACAUCUUUUAUAGGCAUACAAUAUUUUCAUGCUUGUAAGCUUAGAAAAUGAUGGUGGUAAUGGACCACUUAAGCCAGAGCUGUCAAUAUAUCUGCAAGACAGAAAUAAAAGAAUAAGAAUGUUAACAUGGUUUGGCAGAAGAAAAAGGUAAGGACUACAGGGUGCCCAAAAUUAAUCAAAAUACGCACAGUUGCUCAAGUUUAACCAUGUUACCCAGUUCGGGAGGAAGGGAUCCAUUUAAGUUGUUCAUGCUUAUGCCCCUGAAAUCCCAGAAAAAAAUAUCAGGUUAGUAGCAAAAGAUUUGUGACAGGAAACUUUCUUAUCUUUCGAAGGAUGAAUACAUUUCUCGACAGAGGUCAACUAGUAGAAGGAAUGAAGGUGUGUUUUUUCUAUAAGCUUGAUGUCGAUAGCAUGUAUUCUCAACUUAAACUGUUCUUUAUUUGUUGAUUCUUACACAUUUAAAUAAAUUUAUAGGUACGUGUACAAAGCCAAGUCGAGAUUUAUAAAACUUUGUAGUUUGGACAUUAGCAAAGAUUUCUACUGAAAUAGGGUCAUGAAACAGAGAAGGUAAAUUUCUUACAGCGAUAUAAGAUUCACAAGCUUCCCAAGCUCCUUUGGAACAGAUCCAGAUAAUGCAUUAAUUGCAAGACUCCUUUUAUGUUCAAGGGAGAUAAUUUAAGUUUCAAUGUUACCCAAAACAUGUGAUGUAGUAAUGUUAGGUUCUAAAUCUCACAUGUAUUGCAAAGCAGUCAGUUCCCCAAGGAACGAUGGUACAGGCCCUGUUAAGUAAUUUUGCAUUAAGUUCCUGAAAAAAACGUCAGAUCAGAUCAGAUGUAAACGAAAAAGGAUGGCUCUCAGUAGGUAUUAUAUUUAAAGAAAUUUUGAGCUUGAUGCGGGAGGCUACUACAAAGCAAUCCGCUGCUAUGAUAAUAUGAUAUGCUGUGGAACUGCGGAAAAUGACAAAGUCCACCGAUAAAUUGCGACUAAACAAUCUUCAUAUACACUUGGGAUACUUUGGCUCACUGACGAUUUCAAGAAAGUUGAGAAUUCAUACAAAUUGGUCAAGUGCGUGAGGUUCCUCAGCUCUUCUGGUAUAGGACCUACCAGAUUCAAUGCGUACAUUUUCCUGCAGUAAUAACAGUGAAGCACCCAUCAGCUCACACCAUCUCAAUUUAGCCUUCAUGGAUGUUCGUCAUCAGACAAACACCACUAGGUUAUGGAGCGCCGUCAAAUAACCGCACAAGCAAUAGUUGCAGAGAUAAGGACGAUGCACUAGCUUGCCACACUCUGAGUGCACGAACUGCCACCUCAGGUGGGCAAAUUAGAUCAUCCAGCAACUAAUGGUGGGCGUACGGAUAGGAAGCGUGAGACACUUACAGCUUGGUGAUGUGGCAGACGGUGUUGUUCUGGCCGGAGCACUUGCACUGGAUGGCCGGGUUGAAGUUCAUGUCUGAGUCGAUGUUGGUGUCGUCCGUGGCGGCGCCGGUGCAGGGGUCGCCGCUGAUGUUCCAUGCCGAAGACGCCGUCUGGCCGAGCUUGUCGAACACCGCAUUCACCGCCGCCGCUGCAAAACCGAAAACGGGUUCAUACUUCACACACAUCCCAAAGAAGCAAUCACCGACUAACCUUUACCGACCACAGAGAAUAUAUAAAAUAACAGAUCACCCUCAGGCACUCAACGCGAACUCUAGGCAAAAGUGGUGAAUCUAGUAGUGUACAGUGAUAGCUAGUCUUAUAAUACAUUAAAAGCAUUAUAAGUACCCUAAAAGCUUGGUGACAUAGUAACUUUUUUUUUUCUUUUUUAAUAAAAAAUAUAUAUCUAGUAGGAGUCUUAGCCCCACCUGUUCCUUAAAAAAAAAUACCAAGACUCUAGCUGUCCUACCUCGGGGCUUUCUUAUUUUUUAAAAAAAUAAAGGCAACGGGUAAUAAUACGUUUGGUUCCACGGACUAAAGUUUAGUCCCUAUCACAUCAAAUGUUUAGAUACUAAUUAGGAGUUAAGCUAAUUAUAAAACUAAUUGCACAGAUGAAGGCUAAUUCGCGAGACGAAUGUAUUAAGCCUAUGUCAAAUCAUGGACUAAUUAGGCUUAAUAGAUUCGUCUCGCGAAUUAGCCUCCAUUUGUGCAAUUGGUUUUGUAAUUACUCCUAAUUAGUAUCUAAACAUUCAAUAUGACAGGAACUAAACUUUAGUUUGUGACAAUGAAUACGACAACUAGCAAGUAACUACCACGACAAGCAGCCAUAAGGUGGUUGAAGCUGCACAACAAGUCAACAACUAGCUCUCUAAAGAAGGUUGAUUUUUAGGGCAGUCCCAAACCAUAGUUUCUAUGGGUAGUUUCUAUGUUGACCUAUCACCAAGAUGCCACUUGUAGAUCUAAUCUCCCCAACCCAUAGUUUCUAUGGGUAGUUUCUAUGUAGAGCAAAAUUUCAUGAUUUCACGCAAGCACCACAAGCAAAGCUCGGUCAGCUGUCGCAAGCAACCGCGUAGCCUUCAUGCUGCCACAGUCCGAGCCAUUGAAACAAAAUAAUUCUUUCACAGCUGCUAUAAGAUCGAUCGACCUGGAAAGCGCCGCCAAGAGACGAUGCAGGCCAAAAUGCAGGAGCGAGAUGAGUGCUGGUUCGAUCAGUGCCUGGACAAAGUGCCAAAGUGGCGCUUGAAGCAACGGACGGAGAACUGGCGCCUGCAGAAGCAACUGCGGUAGCACCAACAACACGUCUGGAACUUGAAGAGGGCUUCCUCGAUUUCUUUUGAUGUACGCCUUUCUUCUCCAAUCGAUCCUUAGAAGCGGCGCGUGUGGAAUUGCUGGCGGAGGCUUGGUGCGCGGCCGCGCACGGGGGUGGCCAGCGGCGUGAGGCGGACACAGGCGCCGGAAAUUGGCACGCGCGAGCGAGGGAGGGGAUGGCCGCGGCGCGCGCGUGAGGGAGGGUCGCGACGCGGCAGUAGCAGGCGCGCACGGAGCCUGGGGUUGGGUCGCGGCGCACAGCGGAUCGGGAAGAUGGGCAAGAAAACGAGGAAGGAAACGAUAACGCUGGCACAACGCGAUUACGGCGGUAUCUACGCACUUUGGUGCGCGAGCCGACUCGGUUUCUCACAUGAGAAAAACGAUUUCUUGCCCUUUCUUCGUUAAAUCACCUGCCACAUCGUUAGAUCGCUGAUAUGGUACUGUAUUGAAUGAUAUAGAAAUUGGAGGGUUGGGAGUGCCCUUAAUAUUUUCUCGCUUGGAUCCCAAUUUCACCUCGUGGGCUUGCUCUGUUCGAUGUUUCCUCACGUGGGACUAGCGUUGAACCACAAGAGUUUCUGACUUAUUCGUGGGCAAAACAUGGAUGAGGUCAAAAGGCGAAAAACCAUAAUAUCAUACCAUUAAACGCGCCCCUGUUGCCCUUCUACCCGAAACAUUUGGAACGAGAUAGUUUCUUGGACGAAUCGGGCAGAUGAUUCUCUGGAACAGAUCAGGGAUUGUACAGAUCAGGGAGAUGAAAUUCCAACAGCAAAGGUGGCCAUGAUGCCGGUAAGAAUUCGACUCGAUCGAGCUGAUUUUUCAAGAACUUACUUGCAGGGGAUAUUAUCUUAAGAACGUGAGGACAUUGCUGACAGCUAGCAACCUCAAACUGAGAGGCGCCUCCCAGGAAAAGAAACAAAGCAAAAGGCAAGAACAAACUUAAUUACAAAUAUACAAUCGAGCUCAUCAGAUAGAACACCUCGAAAAUUAUCUUUUUAUCGCAGGAGCGCUGAAUAGGACUUACCUUCAGUUGGAUCUGUCCUUGUUGGUGGUGCUUGCUGAGCUUUGGCCGACGCAGCUAGGAGAAGCAGCGCGGAGAGCACGUAGCCACGGAGGGAAGAACUCCGUGUUAACCUCAUCUCCCUCUUCCUAACUGCUCUCGCUUAGCUUGGCCGUGGCCCUUCCGAGGAAAGCAAUCUUGUUCCGUGUCCAAAAAAUCUGCUGAUUUCAUCAUCAUAGAAGGAAAGCAAAGCAAAUAAAGCAGCAGUCAAAGGCACACGACUGAUUGGGGAUACGCGGUCGUUUGGCAACAUUAGUACUGAAGACGACUGCAUGACUGACUGACGUUCUCAAGCUUUGGAUUCAUCCACUCGAACCAUUCAAGACUGUCAUGGUCUAGAUAAUUAAGGCGAUUUCCCAGGAUGGGAUGUUUGCUAUGGACAGAAGCUGGAACAAUUCAACGAAGUAAUAAUAAAGGCCAACCACUUCCGAUACUGACACAUAUACAUCUCAGAGUUCUAACUUUCGCCGUGCGGCUGCUUUUGGUCUGAAGUGUCAACUACUAGUUCGCACAUGCAUAAUCAGUCCAGUUUACACCACGGGAAAUCAAUUUCAUGAAGAUGAAAAAACUACUAGGUACUUCUUCCGUUUCAAAAUGUUCGGUUUUUAAACUUUUUAGAUACAUAAAUUUUGCUAUGCACCUAAAUAAUUGAGGUAAAAAUGAUUGUUAAGUAGCAAUGGGUACUUCCACCACGUACUUUUUUAAAAAAAAUUACACUGUUGAUCCAAGUAAUGUAAUUAAAAAAUAAAUUAAAUUAGUACCGGUCCCACUGUUUUUGUACUUGGUCUCCACCUAUUUGGUACUUCUUGUUACUUUUCUCUAGAUACCUCUAGGUACUUUCUACCUUUCCACCGCACGAUUUUUCUGGAUGGACGGCUCUUAUUUUUUCCAAUUAUUGAAAAUAUUUUCAUCAACAAAACCAAAACGACCUACAUUUUGAAAUAAAGGGAGUAACUAAUAGUCUAAUACCUUAGCAUUGACAAGGGCUUGUUCAACGAGAGUGGAACGACAUAGACACAAUCUCCUUGCAUUUAUCGAAAAUUUAGCAUUUUUUCCCUUCUGUUCUGCUGAAGAAUUUGGCCUAAUCCUAUGAACCCAGGCAAGUGCCUACGGAGAGAAUUUGAUGCCAGGUCCGCCAUUGGAUCAAAGUAGGCACGGCAAUGGAAUAAUGGAUAAUAACCGUCAUAUGCAGUGAUAUAAGGCUUAUAAUCCACUAUGCAAAACUAACAAUCAGGGCACCAACUGUGAAGUGUGUAUCUACACACAACGUAUUCCGUGGAUAUGGCUGCUAGGGGGGCGAGCCUUGGGUGCGAAAGAGGGCCAUUUGGAUGGUGCACCUAACGAAUCUUACACACAUCCAAAUCUUCAAAGUGCAUCCACACCAAAUAAUAUAAUCCGUUGCUUGACAGAAGCUUAUUUGAAUCUGAUGAUCAUUGACCAUCAUCACCGGCCUUCCUCGAUGAGGGAGCUCAGGUACGACGAUGUCGAUGCCGACAUGCCGACCACCUCCCUCUUGCUCGAGCUCGCCUGCCACUCGGUGACGUAGCUGGGCUUCGUGACUGCCUCUGGCACUUCGAUGUCUUCUGUGAGCAUGGACACCACCUUUGACAUGGAUGGCCGCUGCCGAGGUGAGCUCUGGAUGCAGAGGAGGCCGACGCGGAUGGCACGGAGAACCUCGUCGCUGACGAAUUCCAUGAGACUCGGGUCCACGACGUCGAGAGGACGGCCUUCCUCGUACAAUUGCCAGACCUGAAAGCGUAGGGCUCAUGCAUGUAGGAGAACUUCACUGUUGUAGGAAUGCAACAAACUAUUUUUUUUCAUAUGAUUCCAAAUUCUAAGAUCCACAUAAUGCUGCCAUUUUAAAAUUUAACACGCUGUGUCAGCUGCUUAGAUGCUAACAAGGUCUUAUAAGUGACACCAUAUGCAUGACUAGCAAUUUCUACGAAAAAUGUAUUUGUCUCAAAUAAAUAGCAUUUUUAUGUUGAAUUUAGUAUAUGAACAACUUUUAAAUUUUUAUGUUGUUAAUCUAAAUAAUUCUUCAUGUAGUGCUGCGCAAAGCUAAAACUGCUGCACAUUUUAGAAGAGGGACACUGGAGCAUAGAUCUUUAGAUCAAUAACUUAUAUUCUGUGUCCGAGGGAGUAACAAAACUUUCCCUCUUCUAAACAAGUGCCUAUCAACAACUAGCAUUCUGUACAUAGCUUAUUUAUUUGACUGCAUCUCUUUUUAUAUAAUUCAAUGAUGUCAAAAUUAUGGUUAAGUUUUUGAAUAAAAAAUCUUAUGAACGCACAUGAGCUUUAAUUUUUAUGUUAUAUAAGUGCCUAUCAUAUAUAUAUAUAUUCCCAGUUACCACAUGAAAAACUGCAAUUUGACCUGGGUCUAAAUUUUGUAGUGACUUUACCCAUUCUAAAAGAUAGGCGCUGUCUUCGUCAAGCCUAUCAUCAUAGUUUGGCCUUCCAGCUAUUGUUUCCAAUAUGACCACGCCAAAAGCAAAUACAUCAACUUUCUCCGUUACAUGACCUCUCAUGGCGUACUCAGGUGCUAGAUAACCACUUGAAAGAAGAGCAGAAAAAUAAUGUUAUUAGCUCACAGAUUAAUCAAACUAAAGUAUAAACUUUCUGCAAUUGUAUAAAGGUGCACUCCAGUGUGCAAGAUAACCUCUCAUUCCCUACUUACUAUAAAUGGGGCAAGAUGCAAAUGCGCUUACAAUGUACCGGCAACUUUUGUGCUGACAUGCGUCUUCUUGUCAUCAUAAAGUUUAGCGAGUCCAAAAUCUGAGAUCUUAGGGUUGAAAUUGGUGUCAAGUAAGAUAUUACUGGCCUUUAUAUCCCUAUGCACAACACGGAUGCUAGACUCUUCGUGCAAAUAAGCUAGACCUCUUGUAAUGCCUAAGCAUAUCCCAAAGCGUGUAAGCCAGUCUAGGUUCUUUCUCCCACUUCCUGCAAAUGAAUGUUUAAGUUAUACGAUGAACUCCUGGAGGGCCGGAGUUAUAUACAGUUGCAUCAAAUUGAAUGAACCUGUACCAAACAAUGCUUUAUCAAGACUUCCAUUCUCUAAGUACUCGUAAACCAGCAGUGGAUUUUCGCCCUCAAGGCAGCAACCAUACAACUUCACGAGAUUCCGAUGUUGCACUUGGGAAAUAGUUUCUAUUUCAGCUAUGAAUUGCUUCUUCCCUUGACGAGAUGUUUCAGAUAGCUGCUUUACUGCUACCAUGCUUCCAUCGGUCAGUUUACCCUGCGAAAAUGUGGCAUUUUUUAAGAAUGUAAGUUUCAGACACCUCAUUAUCACGCAUAUAAUGGACAAAAUAAAGAGACUGCCAAGCUAGCCAUGUGGGGCAACUAUAAAAGGAACUAGUAGAGAGCAACAAAAGGGAAAACCAAUGGGGAAUGUGUGUGUAGAUUGAUAUUACUAAAAGAAUAGGUGAAGCAUUGCCCAGAAGUAGAGGUUUAUUAGUCAAUUUGCAUACAGAAAAAGAGCUCUGGUGUGCACUACUUAUGUACGUGGAAACUUAAUUUCAGAGGCAAAUUAAAAUUCCAUAGCAAAUUUGCAUCCAUGUCACCAUGUGUAGUACAGAUGAACUAACCUUAUAAACUGCCCCGUAUCCUCCUUCACCAAGAAGGUUAGUGGAAUUAAAAUUUUCACUAGCGGUCCUUAGUUCACCAUAACUGUAACUAAAUACAUUUGGUCUUCCAACACAACUGUACAGCUCUGCAAGAAUCACAAGAGUUAAGUUUAUGAGCACAACCUCUUUGUCUGGUUUAAGAAUACACUGUGAACCUGUCAUAUCAUGUACCUCGUUUGUCCAAUGACAAUUUUCUUCUUUUCUGCCUCAACACAUAGAGUCCAGAGAGCACUAAUAGUCCUAAAACUGCUGCACCAACCCCAACCCCAACAGCGACACCUGUAUUGCUAGUACGUUUCGUCUGGGCAGCAUGGGCAGCAUUACGCACUGUAGGUUCGAAAUCUGUCCAAAAGUCCACUUGUUAGAACAAAUGCAAUCUUGGAUUUGGAUCCUAUGUUAAGUGUUUAUGAAUUUUCACUUUUUAAAAGUACUUGAGAAUUCAGCACCGGUUCAGAGUGGAUCUGUAAUUCUGUAUCACUAUUAUACAUGUCAGAGUGUUGGUUCAGUCAUCAGCAUUCUCCUAAUGGGAACUAAGUUGACCCCGCGAAAAUUAUCUAAACAGUAUAGAAACGUUGGUUUAUAGACAACGGGAGUACUUGGAGUUGCACUCAAAGCAGAGAGCGAAGGCCCAUAGUAGCCUUGACUAGGGAUGCAACAAGUGCCCUUGCCGGCCCAGAAAAGAUGAAUCUCAAGGAAGUUUCUGGUGACAGGAACAGUAUACUUCCUCGUGACAGCAGUGUAAGAUUUUCCGGCUGCUGCCUUUCUUAUGUCAAAGUUCUGCUCUUUACGCUCACCCUGUACCAAAAGCAAGAAAAAAAACAUUAGAAAAUCUCAAUCAGCCCAUAAGCUAAAAUCUCAAGUAAGUGUAAGUUAUCAGCAUGACUGGAACCUACCUGAAUAUAGAUAUCGAAAACCCUUUUACCUAAACUCUUCCAAGUCUGCAUGUCUUCGAAGUCAAACUCUGCAAAUUGAAGUGUGACUGUAUAAUUUCCAUUCUCAAGUCCAAUGCCAUAGUAGCGUAAUGAUGAUGGAGACAUCCUUGCUGUCUGGAACAGUUCUGAAUCUAGAGUUUUCAGAAACUGGCGUGAGCUGUUGAUUAUGUAACUAUUAUUUGGUGCCUCCAUGAACCUCCCAACAUUGCUAACACCCCACGUUGGUGCUCCUGUAACAUAAUAGGAAGCAGGUCCCAGAUCGGCGUUGUCAGGCUGAUACAUGGAAUUAUCUGAGACUGACAUAGAUCUCUGGCUCCCACAGUCCACAGCAAAGGAGGAAGCUGCAAGCAUGUUAAAUUAUUUAAUACUGAUGUUAUUUAGCAUAUCCUUAAAGUGCAAAAGUGGAAGCUCACAUUGUGGAGAGCCAAGAAAGCAGGGUGUGUCUCGCUGAAGGCACCCUAGCCCCGAAGGUAAGGCACUGAAGAUGUCAAACAUUGUCAAUUUGAAUCCAAAAUAUGAGCUGAGGCCUGAGAGAACAUAAAAAUUGUGCUUGAAGACUUUAAUGACCUAUUUGAAUACAAACUGACCUGUUAUUGGAGUCGUCGAUUACGAAAUUGUUCGCCACCAAAUUCCUAUGUAGAAUGAAACAUGUAAAAAAGAGUUAGAAGGCACUAUUGCAGAGAAUCAAGAGAAACCAAAGCAGGGACAAAAUUGAUUCAGUUUUUUAAGAUAAGCGAUAAGGUAAAGUACACAUCUGCUUGUUCAAAGAUUCUGAAUCAUAGAUGACGUCAAAUGCAAAAAGAAAAGAAAAAAAGAAAAAAUAAAUAUGGUCUAGGUGCAGCAAAAGCAGCCUUUUAGAUGUAGUUGAUAUUAAAAAAUGCUAGUUUAAUACAUGUGUAUGAUAUUGGAUUAUCUUUAAAAUAAUAGUAAUAGGGCUGAAUUUUCGGUCAGUCAAUCAAGCUUGCAAAACUCAGCACUUACAAUGUCAAAUUCGGACUAACCCAGGAGGGAAAGUUUCCUGAUAGCUGGUUGUAGGAAAAGUCUCUACACAAAACAAAGCGUGUAAAUGUUAUAGAUAAACGCCUUCCUGGUUUUACUUCACAAAUGAAAGUGGACAAACAUACAAGUUUUUAAGAGAAGUUCCUAUAGAACUUGGAAGGCUUCAUGAAAGACUAUUAUUCCCGAGAAACCUGGGCAGACCAAAUUUGCGCAUUAGCAAGAUUGAUGAUCAUUGUCAUCAGAACCUAGAAAUAAGUAUCAGAAGGCAAGAUAAACCAUACAAGAAGCUGAGUGAAUUCAGAUUCAGCAGAGCUUGCGGUACUAGGCCAGUAAUAUUGUUAAAACUCAAAUCCCUGUAACAGUAGAACAAAUGAGACUAGGAGAGAAAGGGGUCAUCAAACAAUGCAUAAUCCACAGCAGUUCAUUAAAGCAUCUAGCAAAACAUGCAGUUGACUGGAGUUUACGAAGAAACAAAAUGUCUUACAGUAGGGUUAAUGUUGCAAACUGUGAAAAGUUUACUGAUGCCAGGUUAUCAGAUAUCCUGCAGUUCCUCAAAACUCUGCAAUGAAACAUGUCAAGAGUUUUCGGAUUUAACAAUUUGGUUGCACUACAGCAAAUAUUAAGAUGUAGUUUUGAGUCAUCAAGUGAAUGACAAGUUAUGCAUACAAGAUGUUCAAAGAUGUCAUGUUACUGAUGAAUGCCAGUGAAGAACUCCCAUUUACUAUGUCACCUAUUCGUCUGAACCACAGAAGUAGAUAAUUAAUUCUUCUGUUCUGCAACCUUAAUACUUGACAAUGAUACUUAUCUACUCCCGCCAUCAGUAGUCACUUACAAGCUUGUCAGUUGGACAAGAUUAGAAAGAGUGGUUGGAAGUGGACCUUGAAAUGAAUUGCCUUGAAACCGUCUGCAAAAUUAUAGUUGUUGUUACUAGUGAAGAAAGAAGGAAGAUCCUGCUAGUACAAGGGUCACUUUCUUGGUAAAAAAAGUAAAUAGGUUUAUGCAGAUAGAAAUAUGAUCUGUUCCAUAAAAAAGAUAAUUAUUAGAAAAAUCAAUUCAAUAUUUUUAACACUAGUAUUUUUUAAUGGAACAGGAGGGGUUAGGACCCCUACUGGUUAUAUAUUCAGGAAAAAGGAGUCUUUUACAGAGCAAAAAGGAGAAAAAGGAAAAUCACAACAGAUUGUCAAGCCAUUCUGUGAUUCUAGGGAAAGACUUCUUUUUUCUCGAUGGAUAACCAUAGCAAAUUCAUACUUGAAAAUGUUUCUGCAACUCUCAACUGAAACUUGCUGUUGUUUGGAGAUUGCAUUGUUCCUUGUUGUCCAGAAUAUGUGGAACAGAACCGCAUUAUCAUGAAUAGUGAAAAAAUGUAAUAUUUACUAAAAUGAUGAAACCACCUCACAUCUGACCUUAUGUGGAUUAUUUUAAUAGGCCACUGAAUGGAGAUUUAGCAGAGUAAAAACUAUACUUAGCUAAUACCAUCUCAUUUAUGAGCACAAUGAGCCAGGGUUCAAAAUGAAUUUCAUACUUGAGAACUGUUGCAAACUGUACACAAUGUCUUUAAAGAAAUUAUCAACACCAUCUGAAAAGUAUAAGUUGUAAAUCUUACAGAUCUAAUAAAUUACUGAGGCUCCCAAUGUAAUCUGGUAUUUGCCCAGUAAAAUCAUUAUCUGAUGCCCACCUAAUCACAAAUAAGAAUAACGCAUAAGGUUAAAUGAAUAAUACUGUUGACAAAACAUCUUUUAUAGGCAUACAAUAUUUUCAUGCUUGUAAGCUUAGAAAAUGAUGGUGGUAGUGGACCACUUAAGCCAGAGCUGUCAAUAUAUCUGCAAGACAGAAAUAAACGAAUAAGAAUGUUAACAUGGUUUGGUAGAAGAAAAGGUAAGGACUACAGGGUGCCCAAAAUUAAUCAAAAUACGCACAGUUGCUCAAGUUUAACCAUGUUACCCAGUUCGGGAGGAAGGGAUCCAUUUAAGUUGUUCAUGCUUAUGCCCCUGAAAUCCCAAAAAAAAUGUCAGGUUAGUAGCAAAAGAUUUGUGACAGGAAACUUUCUUACCUUUCGAAGGAUGAAUACUUUUCCCGACAGAGGUCAACUAGUAGAAGGAAUGAAGGUGUGUUUUUUCUAUAAGCUUGAUGUCGAUAGCAUGUAUUCUCAACUUAAACUGUUCUUUAUUUGUUGAUUCUUACACAUUUAAAUAAAUUUAUAGGUACGUGUACAAAGCCAGGUCGAGAUUUAUAAAACUUUGUAGUUUGGACAUUAGCAAAGAUUUCUACUGAAAUAGGGCCAUGAAACAGAGAAGGUAAAUUACUUACAGGGAUACGAGAUUCACAAGCUUCCCAAGCUCCUUUGGAACAGAUCCAGAUAAUGCAUUAAUUGCAAGAUUCCUUGUAUGUUCAAGGGAGAUAGUUUAAGUUUCAAUGUUACCCAAAACAUGCGAUGUAGUAAUGUUAGGUUCUAAAUCUCACAAGUAUUGCAAAGCAGUCAGUUCCCCAAGGAACGAUGGUAUAGGCCCUGUUAAGUAAUUCCGCAUUAAGUUCCUAAAAAAACGUCAGAUCAGAUCAGAUGUAAACGAAAAAGGAUGGCUCUCAGUAGGUAUUAUAUUUAAAGAAAUUUUGAGCUUGAUGUGGGAGGCUACUACAAAGCAAUCCGCUGCUAUGAUAAUAUGAUAUGCCGUGGAACUGCGGGAAAUGACAAAGUCCACCAAUAAGUUGCGACUAAACAAUCUUAAUAUACACUUGGGAUACUUUGGCUCACUGACGAUUUCAAGAACGUUGAGAAUUCAUACAAAUUGGUCAAGUGCGUGAGGUUCCUCAGCUCUUCUGGUAUAGGACCUACCAGAUCCAAUGCGUACAUUUUCCUGCAGCAAUAACAGUGAAGCACCCAUCAGCUCGCACCAUCUCAAUUUAGCCUUCAUGGAUGUUUUUUUUUUGAAAUAAACCUUCAUGGAUGUUCGUCGUCAGACAAACACCACCAGGUUAUGGAGCGCCGUCAAAUAACCGCACAAGCAAUAGUUGCAGAGAUAAGGACGAUGCACUAGCCUGCCACACUCUGAGUGCACGAACUGCCACCUCAGGUGGGCAAAUUAGAUCAUCCAGCAACUGAUGGUGGGCGUACGGAUAGGUAGCGUGAGACACUUACAGCCUGGUGAUGUGGCAGACGGUGUUGUUCUGGUACGUGCAGUCGCAUUUGAUUCCCGGGUUCAAUUUUGGGCGAUUGUCGACGUCGGUGUCGUCCGUGGCCGCGCCGGCGCAAGGGUCGACGCCGCUGAACCAAGAUGGCCACAGUCUGCUCCCGAGUUUGUCAAACACCCCCUUCAGCGCAUCCGCUGCGAAUGAGACACAAACACGAAAACGCGAUCAAACAUCCUGCCCCUCGGCAGUCCGAGAAAAUUUUGCAAUAUGCUCCUAUGGUUUAAGAUAUUUAGACCCUGACUAUAACUUUUUGCAGGCCGAGAGCUUGCAUUGUGUGGCCGAGGGGGAUUGAUUUGUUUAGUAUUCAUGUGCUCUAAUGGUCGAGAGUAUUUUGGUGUUACAUAGCUGAUCUCCGAGAGUGAACAUGAUUUCCAGAGAAGCAAUCACCGACUAACCUUUACCGACCACAGAGAAUAUAUAAAAUAACAGAUCACCCUCAGGCACUCAACGCGAACUCUAGGCAAAAGUGGUGAAUCUAGUAGUGUACAGUGAUAGCUAGUCUUAAGCUUGUAAUACAUAAAAAGCAUUAUAAGUACCCUAAAAGCUUGGUGACAUGGUAACUUUUUUCUUUUUUAAUAAAAAAUAUAUAUCUAGUAGGAAUCUUAGUCCCCACCUGUUCCUAAAAAAGUACCAAGACUCUAGCAGUCCUACCUCGGGGCUUUCUUAUUUUUACAACAAAAAAAAAAGGCAAUGGGGGUACUAAUACUAUGCAGCAAGAGGUGAGAACAAGAUGACAUGAAGAUGCACAAAAAUAUUUGUGCUCGAGAUGAAAUCUGUCCUGCCCUGCAAUGGACUAUCCCACUCUUUCACAACCAAAAUUUAUGCUCGAACAAGAUGCUUUUACCUUUACUAUCGGUUUCAUGACUACACGCACGCCGGCCUACAUGUUGCCAGCACAGCACAUGCGCCAACCUGUUUUGUUACGCCAUCUCAGCCCAGGUCUGUGCCAGGCAAGCAGCACGAAAAUGUUUCUAUGUUUAGUAUCGAUUCCCUUUGUUUCAAAAUAGAGUUGAAUUUAGAUUUAUCCUAAAUCAAAUUUCUAUAAAUUUGAUAGGCAUCAACCUCUACAACAUCAAAUUAGUUUCAGUGAAUCCACCAUGAAAUAUCUUGACAGUGUAUUUUAUUUGGUAUUUUUUGAUGAAGUCAGUAGGAAAGCCACAACCUAUUUUUUUUAAUUUUUUAUUCUAGACCUGUUUAAUUCGCUUCCAAGAGGAGUCGAACUAAGGUCUGCUGGAUACUGCUCAAGUGCUCUAACCACUAGGCUAGAUGCACUUUUUUAUUUGGUAUUGUAGAUGUUAUUAUAUUUUUUUAUAAACUUAAUCAAAAUUAGAGAAAGUUUGAUUUAGUGAACUGAGCGUAGCCUAGCUGGUAAGGUCCCUUGUGGUGGAACCUGCUCAGUGGUAGGUGAUGUGCCCAUUGAUAGCGAGAUGUCAGUGGUGACUUCAUCAAUCUCGAGGAUUUACCGGUUCAAUUUUUCGGAGGUGCUCAUAGGGGUAAAGUUGCGUGCGUGUAUUCGUAGGGACGAGUGUGCGUACAUGUAUGUGAGCGUCUACGUCUGUGAUUCACAGUAAAAAAGAGAAAGUUUGACUUAGAAAAAACUAAUGAAAAAUAUUUUAGAAUGGAUGAAGUAAUCAAUUAGGUGCUGAUUUAUUUUUUUAAGACGUACAUAUGAGAAAGUUACCUAUCAAAUUAUUCUUACUAUAUUUGGUCAUUUAAAGACGACUCGUCAUGCUAGAUGACCGGAAGGAGUAGUAAAGAAUUAGUCUUAGACGACUCCACCGGAGACAGGCAAUGAAAACGACAACUAGCAAGUAACUACCACGACAAGCAGCCAUAAGGUGGUUGAAACUGCACAACAAGUCAACAACUAGCUCUCUAAGGAAGGUUGAUUUUUAGGGCAGUUCCAAAUCAUAGUUUCUAUGGGUAGUUUUUAUGUUCACAUAUCAUCAAGAUGCCACUUGUAGAUCUAAUCUCCCCAACCUAUAAUUUCUAUGGGUAGUUUCUACGUAUGAUUUCACGCAAGCAGCACAAACAAAGCUCGGUCAGCUGUGGCAAGCAACCGCGUAGCCUUCAUGCUGCCACAGUCCGAGCCAUUGAAAUUAAAAUAAAUUCAUUCGCAGCUGCUAUAAGAUCGAUCAACCUGGAAAGAGCCGCCAAGAGACGAUGCAGGCCAAAAUGCAGGAGCGAGAUGAGCGCUGGUUCGAUCAGUGCCUGGACAAAGUGCCAAAGUGGCGCUAGAAGCAACGGACGGAGAACUAGCGCCUGGAGAAAGCAACAGCAGCAGCACCAACAACUCGUCUGGAACUUGAAGAGGGCUUCCUCGAUUUCUUUUGAUGUACGCCUUUCUUCUCCAAUCGAUCCUUAGAAGCGGCGCGUGGGGAAUUGCUGGCGGAGGCUUGGUGCGCGGCCGCGCACGGGGGUGGCCAGCGGCGUCAGGCGGACACAAGCGCCGGAAAUUGGCACGCGCGAGCGAGGGAGGGGAUGGCCCGCGGCGCGCGCGUGAGGGAGGGUCGCGACGCGGCAGUAGCAGGCGCGCACGGAGCCUGGGGGUGGGUCGCGGCGCACAGCGGAUCGGGAAGAUGCGCAAGAAAACGAGGAAGAAAACCGUAACGCUGGCCCAACGCGAUUUCGGCGGUAUCUACGCACUUGAUUCGCGAGCUGACUCGGUUUCUAACAUGAGAAAAACAACGAUAUCUCGCUCUUUCUUCGUUAAAUCACCUGCCACGUCGUUAGCCCCCUUUGUCACGGCUCCUUGAGGAGCUUCUCCACCGGCUUCUCAAGGAGCCGUGUCAAACACUUUCUUCAAAACAGCUUCUCCGGCGAAACUGCCUAAAAACCUGUUGAGAGGAGCCAAAACGAGCAGGCGGAGCUAGGAAAAUGAGCUCCCCGCGGCUCCCUCAUCCAUCCUGCACCAUUCGGUACCAUAAUACCCCUGGAGUUUGCCGAAUUUACACCCAUUUUACCACUGCCUUCUUUUCUCUCUCUCCCCUAUCGCCCAUUAGUGGAGGAACGACGGGCGGCGACUAGCAGCGGGAGGUUCAAGCACCAGGAGGCGUGGCAGAGGUGGCCGGCAGUGGUACGCGGAAGCGGUGGCGGCUGGCAGCCGUAGGCAGCGCAGGCCAGGGAGAAAGAGAGGACGAAAAUAGAAAGGCAGCUGGCAGCACGCGUGGUGGCCAGAGAAGGAGGCUAGGGGGGUGGCCGGAGAAGGCAGCCAUGGGAGCGCGGCACGCCGGAGAAGGUGACGACAGGCGGCUGAUCUGGUGCAGUGAGGUGUAGGGUCGCGACACGGUAGUAGCAGGCAUGCACGGAGCCUGGGGGUGGGUCGCGGCGCACAACGCAUCGGGAAGAUGGGCAAGAAAACGAGGAAGGAAACCAUAACACUAGCCCAACGCGAUACCGGCGGUAUCUAUGCACUUUGGUGCGCGAGCCGACUCAGUUUCUCACCUGAGAAAAACGAUUUCUUACUCUUUCUUCUUCCCUGUUUGGUUCCUUUAGUGCAUAGACUGGACUAAACUUUAGUCCCACCCCUGUUUGGUUCCAUGGACUAAGGGGGUGUUUGGCUCCCAGGGGUCAAACUUUAGCCCCUGUCACAUCGGAUGUUUGGAUACUAAUUAGGAGUAUUAAACAUAGGCUAAUUACAAAACUAAUUGCACAGAUGGAGGCUAAUUCGCGAGACGAAUCUAUUAACCCUAAGUCCAUGAUUUGACAAUGUGGUGCUACAGUAACCAUUUGCUAAUGAUGAGUUAAUUAGGCUUAAUAGAUUCAUCUCGCGAAUUAGCCUAGGGCUUCUCUAAUUAGUUUUAUAAUUAACUCAUGUUUAGUCCUCCUAAUUAGCAUCCGAAUAUUUGAUGUGACAAAGGCUAAAGUUUAGCCCCUAGUAUCCAAACAACCCCUAAAAUGGACUAAAGUUCAUAAAUACUGUUAAACAAAGACCUUUUUACUCUUCUUCCCUACCCUCUUGGUAUCCCUGCGUCUACUCCUCCUCACACGGGAACUCUAACUACCGCUGGUUGAAGCUUCUCCAUCUCCAGCGCCAAUGGAGCACCGCCCGGGCAUGCCCAACCUACCCCGCCACAUGCGAACUCCCGCGCGGUGCAGGCAAGAUCCUUUGUGUGCCGGCGAGCAGUGGAGCGAGCAGAGGAUUGGCCCGAAUGGGGGAGCCUCGAAUCGGCGACAAGAUGGAGGCUCAUUGAUUCGGCCACAAGGUGAGCUCAAGGGGGCGUCGUGUUGAUUUGGACGCUGGGGAGGCUCGACGGGGUGGCGAUGUGUCGAUUUGACCGUCGGAGGACCCCGAGGGGGCGGCGGCAGUCCUUCUCAUCGCCUCUCCCCCAUGGCGGGCUAGCACCAUCGUACAUUGAAGCUCCGCCAGCCUAGCUGCAGGGCAAGCGAGCUUCGAUAGUGCGGCCACGGUACGGUCGAGCGCCACCGCGUAGGUGAGGGCAGCAGUGGGCCGGCGGCGAGGGGAGGGGAGCAGCGGUGGGUAGGCACGAGCGGAGGAGCAGCGGCCGGACGUGGGGAGAGCGGCGGCGUGGGGAGGAGAGCAGGAGGGAGGCGGGUGGUGAUGGCAGCGGGCGGCGACGGCAGCGAGUGGGAGGGAGGCCAGGUGGGAGGGAGGCGGCGGGCGGGAGGGAGCCGGGUGGGAAGGAGGGCAGUAAAUGAGGGGUAGGGGUGUCCCAACACCCUUUAGUCCAGUUUUGUGGAUUAGAGGACUAAAGCCUUUUGUUCAAACUUUAGUCCACUGUUUGGGUGUUUAGGGACUAAAAGUGCACCAAAACUUUAGUCUAUGAGAACCAAACACCCCCUGAAUCACCUCCCACAUCAUUAGAUUGCUGAGAUGGUAACACCCCCUGAAUCACCUUCCACAUCAUUAGAUUGCUAAGAUGGUACUGUAUUGAAUGAUAUAGAAAUUGGGUGACUUGAAGGUUGGGAAUGCCCUUAAUAUUUUCUCACUUGGAUCCCAAUUUCAUCUCGUGGGCUUGCUCUGUUAAGUUUCCUCUCAUGUGGUUGAAACAGCUUCGGCUGUGGCUUCUCUGAUGGAGCGGUUUUUUUAGCUCUAGUUUGCUUGAUUGGAAAAACAUUUGGCAAAACAGCUUCUCCUGAUUGUUUUAAAUGGAUAAAAAUGUGAAAUGUCCAUACUACCCUUACCUUUUUUUUCUUUUCUAUUUCUUUUCUUUUUUUUCAUUUUCCUUCCUCUUUUAUUGCUUUUUCCUCCACGGUUCCAACCGUUUCUUUCUGCCUACCUUAUCCUUUCGCUCCAUCCCAACGCCAACGCCCGCGCAUGCUGCUGCAGUGCCAUCCUCAUGCCCUACCGCGCCUAGGGGCAAACUGGAGACUUCGGCCUUGCGGAUGGGACGAAGCUGCGGGGAGUCAAUUUUAAUUUUUGGCUUCUCCUCCACUCUUAGCUCCUCUCAGCGCGAAUUGUGGGGCUCCAUCGGCGGAGCCGUUUCGUUCUUCCCCGUUUGGCAGCUAGGGCUGCUCAAGAAGUCCUGCCAAGAGGACCUUAUUCGUAGGCAAAACAUGAACGAAGUCAAAAGGCCAAAAAUCAUAACAUCGUACCAUUAAACGCACCCCUGUUGCCCUUCUACCCCCAAACAUUUGGAACGAGAUAGUUUCUUAGACGAAUCGGGCAGAUGAUUCUCUGGAACAUAUCAGGGAUGGCUUGCCUUGCCUUGCCGGGCAGAUGAUUCUUGGAAGAAAAUUACCGUGCCUUGCCAGGCUCGUGCCGGACCCUACUGGGGCCGCUCGUUUGGACAUCCAUAGCCAAGUGUGAAUUUUAUGGUGGGCAAGCAAAAGGCGAAACACGAUAUCGAUGGAUUGAUGCAAGCUGAUUUGAAACCCCCUCGCUAAUCUGAAAGAAAUAAGACAUGCACGCUUACCUUCAACCGGAUCGGUCCUUGUCCUCGCUUGCUGAGCUUGCGCAGAUGCAGCUAGAAGAAGCAGCAGCAGCAGCAACGUCGGGAGCGCAGCAGAGCCAUGGCGGCACGAACUGCUGGGUCCAGGCCUCCUCAUCUCCUUCCCCUCUCUCUGGCCUCGAGCUCGGGAUUGGCUGCCCCUUCCGAGGCCGAGCGGGAUAUAUGGUAACCUGAUGGAGACUCGGAUGGCGACUUGUCUCAGGCCCCGCCGCCGCGGUGGACACAUGCACCUCCCUCGACGCUGCGCCACCAUGCAAGGAUGGCGCAACUAGGGAAUUUUCUAUGGUCAAGUGGCGCCACUGCUCUGUCCAAGACUCCAAGCACAGUGGACGCGACGGGCCAACAACUACCUCCAGGCUCCCACAUGGAAGCAGAGCCGAAGGCGAUCGACGACGACGGUGACCGUGUUGUUCUGUGCGAGGAGACUUACAGCUUGGUGACGUGGCAGACGGUCGCCGCUGAUGUUCCAUGCCGACGCCGCCGUUUAGCACUUUCAUUAAAUAUUUUACAUAUUUUCGAUAAUGUGGUGAAAUUGUGUUUUCUAUGAAGGCUUGUGAACUUGAUAUUACAAAUAUUAUAUAAUUCCAUCAUAUGCGUUACACUAAAGAUUUUACCAGAAGCACAGGAAUCAAUGGGUGAUAUUGCUCCACCUCGAGUGCAGAGUGGGAGUGAACUUACAUGUUCUAAAAUAUAAACAAUAUAAACUCUUGUUACGCUGCUGGAGAGGAGGCAUCGCUGGAGUCGCACUUCGCCUCGUUGGACACGCAUCACCCCUCUGCUCUGUAUGGGUCUCUUUUGCGUAGCUCUUGCUGGCUCCAGCUCCAUUACUGUAGCACACUAUAGUUUAUCGUAGUGCGUGUCGGAUCUGGAGUUGGGGGGAGCAAUUUUUUCUAAAUUCACCGGCUCCUCCUCCAUAACUGUAGUACAAUGUAGCUAAUCGUAGCGCAUGUCAGAUAUGGAUUUUGACUCUUCACUACAGUACAGCACAACAGUGAUACAAGUAGCGUGACAUAGGAAACGAGAGCCGUGAGGGAGCGGUGCCAAAGGGGUCAUACGGGUGUCUUCCUCUAUUUUCUUUGCGACGGGAAGAGGUAAACAUAUGGGUGGGGCAUCAAGCUAAGUGCACGAGAUUGUGCUCUGAGAAAAUCUUGCUGCUUCUUUUUUUAAUCAUAGAUCGGGUUGGCAUCGUCCUGUCGUUCUGUCAUAAAUCAUAUAUAUAGAUCCGGAUAGACCAAACCCUCCAACAUCAUCAUUUGGUCCUGGCCUCAAAAAUCAAACCCGAAAAAGAAAAUCGAUCUAAGACGGGCGAAGCAACAAUCGAUCAGAGCACAUAACCUAACACAAAAUACGUGCAAAAGCUGAAUAUAUAUCCUCAGAACGUUUGUGACGUGCAUUUACAGAAAACUGUCCGUCAACUUGCAAAUCACCGGCCUUCUUCUCGGAGCUGUUAGAGGUUUAGGCAUUUUACGGCAUAUUUUAAUUCCGAAUAUUUCUAAGUAAAUUAUGGUUAUUGUGAGUGAUACAGAGCGUGUGCAAGUGUUUUGUUUAAAACACGUUUGAACGUAAACAGAACCAAAAGAAAGAACCAGAUAAGGUUCAGUAUGUACCUAGGGGCGGGAUCAUUGCCGAAGGCAAUGGGUGCGCCGUUCCUAGAACUGGAUGCAUCAGACAUUGUGUCUAAAAUGUCGGUUCGGGCUGUUCGAUGUAGUUGAUCAAAGUUGAUGCAGUGUCGAGUUGGUGCAGAGCAGUCCCUUGAACGGCCUCCAGGAUGUAGCAUGACGCGCAGAAGAUGCGCUUCCCCAAAACUUGAUCGCCUGCCUACUCGUGCAAGUGUCGCAGCAGGAUGAAGUUUCGGAGGCCUGCGCGUAGAGGCUCGCGAUGGGAAUGUCAAGAUAGCAGCGGGCAACAGCAAAAAAAAAGGGAGAGAUGCGCGUAGAGGCUCGCGAUGGGAAUGUCAAGAUAGCAGCAGGCAACAGCAAAAAAAAAGGGAGAGACGCGUGCGCGGCUCGACGAGGUGAGCAAGCGCGCACGGCACCCUUUCUCUCUUCCUCAACUUCUCAAUUAGUGCACACAUAGUCCACCUAUUUAAGUUGGUUAAGAUACUCUUAACUAUCCAGGUAGAAUUAACCACUUUAUCCAUCUAGCAUUACACGUGGAUCCUGAGAUUAAAUGAAUUAAAUCGGCCUAACCUGAAUAUUCCAACAGGAGCUAGCUAAUGAACGGCGAAGAGGUGUGCGACGAGGCGGCCCUUGGGGCCAAGCUCGACUGCCCGCUCAUAUUGCUGCUCAUGAAGCUGCUGGUGUUGCCUCCCUUGAUCUGCCAUUCGGUGAUGUAGCUGGGCUUGUUCACCACCUCGCCCACCUCCACGUCGUCCCCGGCCAGCAUCGACACAGCCCGAGACAUGGACGGCCGCUGGUGGGGCGAGCCCUGGGUGCAGAGCAGGGCCACGUGGAUGGCACGGAGCACCUCGUUGCUGUUGAAGUCAGCAAUACAGUUGCCAAACCUGAAAGCACAGAAAAUUAUCUAGAAAUGCUAAGAUGCCAGGCUAGCGUGACAUGUGUUUAGGGACGUUUCAUUUACCAAAUAUAAUCUCGUAGUAAUACCGUAUCCCUUAAUUUAUAGACGGGAUUAAAAUCAUUGGUGAGUUGCAUGGCAAUAAUAAGUAUAUCGGUGAAUGAGUAUUCUUUUUUUAAGUCAACGGGGGAGUGCCCCACCUGAUUCAUUAUAGACCAGCACGCUAGCACGCUUCCAUUAUUGGUGAGUUGUAUGGCAAUAAUAAGUAUAAGCCCCCUGCUCUUUUGGCUAGCACGCUUGCUCCCACCCAACAAGACAUUGUGCUCCACUAACUGUAUCUUCCCCGGACCACAGGAAACGUCAUCGUUGGCAAUUGAGAGCGUCAAUGUUCCCUGGGGGUAGAAGGAGCACUGACAUAGCGUAGGUAAGCUGGCUGUCCAUGACGCUAUUGAUCAGCACUGCAUGGCCCAUUGGAUUCAGUAGGGAGGCGUGCCAGCCGCUGAGAUGCCUGUCCGCUCUAGUGAUCAGAGGGCUGAACACGGACAGACGUAGCUUCUCGUGGGACAGUGGCAGCCCCAGGUAGGUUUGGGGGAAGCUGCCAAGUUGGCACCCAAGAAUACUUUGAAGCGCCGUGGUAGUCGAGCUGGAAGUGUUCAUUGGCAUCAUGGUACUCUUGUUGAAAUUGAUGUGCAGCCCCGUGGCCUCGCAGAACAGAUCAAGCACCUGCUUCAGCGCCACCAGCCCAUCUUGAUCUGCCUUGAGGAGGAUGAGGGUGUCAUCGGCAUAUUGGAGCACGGGGCACGGCUUCCCCGAGGUGGCAGGGUGUGAAAUCCUCUGGUCGAGCUUGAUCAUCUGCUGAAGGACGUCAGUGACCAGAAGGAACAACAGGUAGGGGGAUAGUGGAUCCCCCUGCCGUAGGCCUCUUCCACAGGCGAACCACGGGCCAGGAACACCAUUGACAAGGACAACAAGCUUCAAGGUUUGCAACAUGCUCGUGAUCCAGUUGCACCAGAGGGGCGGGAAGCCUCGCGCAUCCAUGAUGGCGUUGAGACUGAGACAAUCCACAGAGUCGAAGGCUUUGGCGAAAUCAAGCUUCAGAACCACGGUGGGUAGCUUGCGGCAGUGGCAGCACUGGACGAGCUCCAUCGCGUAGAUGAAGUUCUCAGAGAUCGAGUGCCCCUUGAUGAAUCCUGUCUGGUCUAGAUCAAUGAGGCGGGGGAUCUAGUGUUGCAGCCGCGUCGUCAGCAUCUUAGAGAUGAUCUUCAAGGAGCAAUUUUGCAGGCAGAUUGGGCGGUAGUCCCCCGGCGUUUUGUCAAGGAGACAGCGACCGCUUCGUACGAUUCCACUAACCGAUUCAAUGUAGCAACGACAGCUGCUUUCGUCACGGAUGUGCACCACGUCCAUGCGUUUGCAGGAAAGGGAGCGCAAAAAAAAAGAGAUAUUUUUGUGAACCGUACAGGCGGAUAUUACAAGGGCUGGGCCUAUUACAAGGCCCAAGGCCUGGUCACUCAUGACACAAAGCACGUUCGGUGAUAUGAAGCUGUGUGGUCCAGCCAAUUGCAAUUUACAGCCUUUUUUCGAGCGAAUUGGCAAUUCUUGUACACAUCCGAAUCGAAAUUUUUCCAAGUGAAUUUCCAAGAAACAAUCUUGGUCUUGGCAGAAGUUGAUCUUAACUUGCCGAUGGGCGAUGGUCAUCAAUCACCGGCCUUCAUCGAUGACGGAGCUCAGGGACAUGGCCUCCGCCCCCGGCUCCGAGCUCGACGUCCCCAUGGCGUUGCUCUGCCACUCGAUGACGUAACUGGGCUUAGUAACCGCCUCGGGCACCUCAAUGUCCCCGACGAGCAUCGACACCACCCUCGACAUGGGCGGGCGCUGCCGAGGUGAGCUUUGGAUGCAGAGGAGGCCAACGCGGAUGGCACGGAGCACCUCUUCGCUGUUGAAUUCUGUGAGCCUAGGGUCUGUGACGUCCAGAGGAUGGUCGUCCUCGUAAAGUUGCCAGACCUGAAAGCAUGAUAAGUUGGGGGACAAUUCAGAUCCAACUGUUUUUUUUUUCCUGUCGCAAUAGCAGAACAAAAAAACACACAAUCAUCAUUUUCAAGAUGGUUCCAAACAUUGAUCUUCUGCUGUGCAAGUACGCAACAAUAGGAUCCACAAUAAUACUACGGCCAUGCUAAAAUUUAACAAGAGAUGCCAGCCUCUAAUAACAAGUUCACAUAAUGACAUGUUGACUAGCAGUUUCUGCAAAAAAAAAAGGCAACUUUUCGCAAGUUUUUGGUUAGACUGUUUAAGUCCAAGGUUCGAUAAAACCCUUUGUCACCGGUCCGUGAAGGGACGUAUCUCCCUCUGAUCUAUUUUUUCCUUAAAAAUUCUAUGAGAAAAAUACUAUCUGGAACAAAAGAAAUUCAUAUAAUGAAAAAGUUCCAUCCAUGGGAAAAAAAGAAAGAAAGUACAAGUAUAAUCAUACCAUCUAAUAUAGUUAAUGUAUUUUUCUAAUAUAAAGCAUCAUGUUCUCUACCCACUCGUAAAAUUUAAAUCUAAAACUCAACUUGUACAUGAAAAAAAAAUAUUAUGAGGGAUAGGUCGGACCAACUAAAAUAGUUUGGGAUAGUAAAUUAAUCCAGAAUUUUGUUCAUAGGGUUAAACGGAAAAAGUGGAUUGCUUAGGGUAGUAUAAUUUUUCCAUUUUAUGUUUCUAUAGUCUAAAUAAUUGUUAAGUGCAGGGAAAGGAUUAGCUUUAUUGAUCUGUGGAACUAACACAAUGGCAACGACUGAGCUAGAUUCGCCCUCUGCAGAGGCUCUGAAUCUUAACAACUCAAUCCUUGCUUGCCUAUCAAUAAAGAACCAGCCGGCUUAUAUAUUGCUUGGUGCUAACAAACCAAAUCCUAAUUAACAGCUAUUGCUAACCUCCUGCCAUCUUAUCCAACAAAUCAGGCGCCUAACAUGCCGGAGCUGUUGCUGGCGCCGGCUUGCUGCGCCGCCUGUAGGUUCAGCCCACAAAAGCGUCCACAACAAUAAUACCUUAUAUUUUGAUAAAAAAUAGGUAUGUCUCAUCAACAAAUGAUUUUAGAAUGAUAUAAAUUGUGUAGUAUUGUAGGUGCGGGUACUAUUCAAACUUUAGCAGACUAAAAUUGUGGUUGUGUUUUUUUUUCUGCAGGUAAAAAAUCGUGGUUGUGUUUGAUUAAAAAAUCUCAUGAAUGCAUGUGUGCUUUGAUACUUUAAAUCACUCAUGAAUCUAGUGUGGAUUUUCCGACCCCAAUAGCAAAGGAAAAAGAGUGGAACAUUGCAUGACCUGGAUCUCAAUUGUACAGUGACCUUACCCAUUCUAAAAGAUAUGCUUUGUCUUCACCAAGCCUACCAUCAUAGUUUGGCCUUCCAGCUAUAGUCUCCAAUAUGACCACACCAAAAGCAAACACAUCAACUUUCUCACUCAUAUGACCUCUCAUGGCGUACUCAGGUGCAAGAUAUCCACUUGACGAAAACAGCAAAAAGAUCACCAUUAGCUCACAAAGUUAACGAAACUAAUAUAGUGUGUCAAGAUGCGUAAGGGGGAGAAGGUUGGAGAUGUGCUUACAAUGUACCAGCAACUUUUGUGCUGAUAUGCGUGUUCUUGUCAUCAUAAAGUUUGGCGAGACCAAAAUCAGAUAUCUUAGAAUUAAGAUUGGCAUCAAGUAAGACAUUACUAGCCUUUAUAUCCCUAUGCACAACACGGAUGCUAGACUCUUCAUGGAGGUAAGCCAGGCCUCUUGCAAUGCCCAAACAUAUCUCAAAGCGUGUUGGCCAGUCCAGGUUCAAUCUCCCAUUUCCUACCAAUGAAGAAUAAUUUUCAGAUUUAUGUAAGAAACCUGAACUCUUUGCACUUGCAUCGAAUUGAAUGAAACAUUACCGAACAAUGCUUUAUCAAGGCUUCCGUUGUCUAGAUACUCGUAAACCAACAAUGGGUUAUUGCCUUCAAGGCAGCAACCAUACAACUUCACGAGAUUACGGUGUUGCACUUGAGAAAUAGUUUCUAUUUCUGUUAUGAAUUGCUUCUUCCCCUGACGGGAUGUUUCAGAUAGUAGUUUUACUGCCACUACACUUCCAUCGGAUAAUUUACCCUGCCAGAAGGUAUCAUUUUUAAAAAUGCAUGUUUUAAGUAUCAGCGUUACCAUAUGUAUACUGUAAUGAAGAAAAUGAAGAAGACAACCACAACAAAAAGAAAAAGAAAUCAGUAGGGAGCAUAUGUAUAUAUUUUUUUGAAAUAAAUAUGUAUAGAUUUGUAUUAGUAAAAAGAACGGGAGAAGCAUGUGCAGUGAGAAAAAGAAUUCACAUUGCCCAAAAGUAGAGAUAAAAUAAAAGAGGUCUAGCCAAUUUGCAUAAAGAAACAGAUCAGUGUCAAAAAAUUCACAGAAAGUAAAAUUUAACAGAAAAUUGUCAUCCAUGUGUACUACAUAUGAACUAACCUUAUAAACUGACCCAUACCCUCCUUCGCCGAGAAAGUUACUGGAAUUAAAAUUUUCACUAGCGGUCUUUAGUUCACCAUAACUGUAAGUGAAUAAAUUAGGUCUUCCAACAGUAUUGUACAGGUCUGCAAGGAUGACAAGCAAUAAAUUCAUGAACACAACCAAUGUUUGUUUAAAGAAUACAUUGUGAGCAUAGUGUAUCAUGUACCUUGUUGCUCCAAAGACAGUUUUCUACUUUUCUGCCUCCGGACAUACAGUCCAGUGAGCACUAUUAGUCCUACAACUACUGCACCAACCGCAGCUCCAACAAUUGCACCUGUUUUAUUCUUACUUCUCUUCCGAGCAGCAUUAGGUGCUGUAAUCGUGAAGUAUGUCAGAUUCAAAAAAAGCUCACUUGUUGGAAUAAGACAGUGAUCUUACAAAGAAUCAGCAUAUUUUGACUCUGAAGUUUAUGUUAUGUUCUCCUUUACUCAUUUUUAUUUUGGAAUUCAGAUGAGAAUAUUUGCACAAUUUAGAAUAGAUAUGCACGAUUAGUAUAUAUUUAUGCAUAGGUUUAAUUGUCAGCAUGUUUAAUUGUCAGCAUUUCUCAUGGUCGAAACUAUAUGCACAAGUCGACCAAAGAAGGCUGUGGUCAACAGCCCGUAAUUCAACACCCGAUCCGUUGAAGAUGGACCGUAAAAGAUGUCAAUGGGAAGGCUGCUGCUGUCACUACUGACGUUGGUGAUCUCCGUUUCCUGCAAGUUCAUUUCGUUUACUUCUGUCACUACUGACGUCACCCGAUCCGUUUCCUUCUACUACAUCUCACCUGCACCAAGCAGGCAUAUGGAUCUUCGCUAAAGCCUAACACAGCUUCUCCAAGUUCAUUUCAAGUCUAUCUAUUCACUAUUAGAUUUAGGUGAUCACACUCAUGCGAGUUUAGUUGGUCCCGUUGCAAUGCAUACGGACCGGGUAUCCCCCUGGAAUUCUAAAAAAAAAACUCAUGCGAGUUUAGACCUAACAAGAUGGUGUUAGAAUCAUGUGAUUUGAAGCAAAUGGGAGAGAGAGUACCUGGAGUUACACUCAAAGCUGAGAUUAAAGGCCCGUAGUGGCCUUGAGUAGGGAUGCAACAAGUGCCCUUGCCAGCCCAGAACAGAUGAAUUUCAAGGAAGUUUCUAGUGACAGGAAUAAUAUAUUGCUUCUGGACAGCAGCGUAAGAUCCUCUUGCUUCCUUUCUUAUGUCAAAGUUCUGCUCCUUCCGCUCACCCUUUACCAAAAUAAAAAACUCGUGACCAGCUCAAGCUAAAAUGUAAAAACCAAGGGUAGGUUAUUAGUACGACUGGAACUAACCUACCUGUAUAUAGAUAUCAAAAACUCUUUUACCUAAACUUUGCCAAGUCCGUGAGUCCUCAAAGCUAAUCUCUGCAAAUUGAAGCGUUACUACAUAGUUUCCGUUCUCAAGUCCAAUGCCAAAGUAUCUUAAAGACGAAGGCGACAUCCUUGCUCUCUGGAACAGUUCUGAAUCUGGGGUAUUCCGAAACAGGCGUGUUGAGGUGUAUACUGUGUAACUUGCAUUUGAGCUUUGUAUUAUGUAAUCUCUUUCAAAUGCCUCCAUGAACCUCCCAACAUUGCUAACACCCCAUGUUGGUGCUCCUGUAACAUAAUAGGAUGCAGGUCCAAGAUUGGCAUCAUCAGGCAGAUACACGGAACCAUCUGAUCCUGACAUUGAACUACUGCUCCCGCAGUCCACAGCAAAGGAGGUAGCUGCAAGCAUGUUGAAUUAUUUAAUACUGAUGUUAAUUUAGCUAAGUAGACGCACGUUGCAGAAGCUAGAAGCUCACUUUGUGGAGAGCCAAGAAAGCAGGGUGUGUCUCGCUGAAGGCAC